CUAGGCAUCAGCUGGGUCAACAGGCCCGCCCGUUUCCCCUUUUUCUGUUUUCGGGCACAAUGUUUCCUUUUGACCGUUGGUCCUCGCACCCUGCUGUGCCAAAACGUCAAAACCACU
Molecule: long non-coding RNA, 117 nt
Organism: Xiphophorus hellerii (green swordtail)
Lineage: Eukaryota; Metazoa; Chordata; Actinopteri; Cyprinodontiformes; Poeciliidae
Exons: 3
Source: RefSeq, a predicted model, not a curated record